Long non-coding RNA from Magnolia sinica, 219 nucleotides. RefSeq lists it as uncharacterized. The transcript is spliced from 2 exons. Lineage: Eukaryota; Viridiplantae; Streptophyta; Magnoliopsida; Magnoliales; Magnoliaceae. The record is from RefSeq and is a predicted model, not a curated record.
AAUUCUGAGAGAAUAGAAACAGCACCUUCUCCUCGAGUCUCUGUAAUUGCUUCAUAUGCUCUAUCGCCUUCUGUUGGGUCUGUGGCACAUUCUCUUCCAACAUGCUUUCGCUUUUAUCUGUACCUGACUCGUCAUCGACAUCAGACAAAGAAACGGCCGGCAUCUCAUCAAUCGAGUCUUCCUCGCCCUUCCAGCAAUAACGAAAAGAAUAAGUUUUUU